CGUAUAUUAAAGUUGUUGCAGUUAAAAAGCCCGUAGUUGGAUUUGUGGAUGAUGUUGAGGUCCAAAUUUUUUGGUACUAUUGAUAUUGUCCAUCCUUGGGUGGAAUCUGUGUGGCAUUAGGUUGUCGUGCAGGGGAUGCCCAUCGUUUACUGUGAAAAAAUUAGAGUGUUCAAAGCAGGCUUAUGCCGCUGAAUAUAUUAGCAUGGAAUAAUGAGAUAGGACUUGGGUGCUAUUUUGUUGGUUUGCGUACCUUGGUAAUGAUUAAUAGGGACAGUUGGGGG
This 281-nucleotide ribosomal RNA is filed under the name uncultured diatom. RNAcentral describes it as "partial 18S ribosomal RNA". It matches the Rfam family "Eukaryotic small subunit ribosomal RNA", at positions 598 to 888 of the family's 1831-position model. The record is from RNAcentral. Lineage: Eukaryota; Bacillariophyta.